This 543-nucleotide ribosomal RNA is filed under the name uncultured bacterium. RNAcentral describes it as "partial 16S ribosomal RNA". It matches the Rfam family "Bacterial small subunit ribosomal RNA", at positions 355 to 914 of the family's 1533-position model. The record is from RNAcentral.
UGGGGAAUAUUGCACAAUGGGCGAAAGCCUGAUGCAGCAACGCCGCGUGAGUGAUGAAGGCCUUCGGGUUGUAAAGCUCUGUCUUUUGGGACGAUAAUGACGGUACCAAAGGAGGAAGCCACGGCUAACUACGUGCCAGCAGCCGCGGUAAUACGUAGGUGGCAAGCGUUGUCCGGAUUUACUGGGCGUAAAGGAUGCGUAGGCGGAUUUUUAAGUGAGAUGUGAAAACCCUAAGCUUAACUUGGGGACUGCAUUUCAUACUGGAAAUCUAGAGUGCGGGAGAGGAGAAUGGAAUUCCUAGUGUAGCGGUGAAAUGCGUAGAGAUUAGGAAGAACACCAGUGGCGAAGGCGAUUCUCUGGACCGUAACUGACGCUGAGGCAUGAAAGCGUGAGUAGCAAACAGGAUUAGAUACCCUGGUAGUCCACGCCGUAAACGAUGAGUACUAGGUGUAGGAGGUAUCGACCCCUUCUGUGCCGCAGUUAACACAAUAAGUACUCCGCCUGGGAAGUACGAUCGCAAGAUUAAAACUCAAAUGAAUUGAC